UACGGAGGGUGCAAACGUUGCUCGGAAUCAUUGGGCGUAAAGCGCACGUAGGCGGUCCGGUAAGUCCGCUGUGAAAGUCGGGGGCUCAACCCUCGAAUGCCGGUGGAUACUGUCGGGCUAGAGUGCGGAAGAGGCGAGUGGAAUUCCUGGUGUAGCGGUGAAAUGCGUAGAUAUCGGGAGGAACACCGGUGGCGAAGGCGGCCCCCUGGUUGGAUACUGACGCUGAGACGCGAAAGCGUGGGGAGCAAACAGG
RNAcentral lists this ribosomal RNA (253 nucleotides) under uncultured bacterium. RNAcentral's name for it is "partial 16S ribosomal RNA". It matches the Rfam family "Bacterial small subunit ribosomal RNA", at positions 524 to 776 of the family's 1533-position model. The record is from RNAcentral.